RNAcentral lists this ribosomal RNA (90 nucleotides) under Bacteroidales bacterium. Lineage: Bacteria; Pseudomonadati; Bacteroidota; Bacteroidia; Bacteroidales. The record is from RNAcentral.
UUCCACCUCUUCCCAUUCCGAACAGAGAAGUUAAGCCCAAUUGCGCCGAUGGUACUGCACACAAAGUGGGAGAGUAGGUAGCCGCCGUUC